AUAACUUACUUAAUUGGUGUUUCCUGCUAUAGCUAAAUUUCACAUACCUGGAUAAAUAUCUAGUGGCUCUAAACAGUUUCUUUAUUCAAAGUUGAUCUGGACAAGUAGCCAAUGGCAAUUAUCCAAAGCGCUGUUUGAAAACUGCAUCUUUAUUAAUCCUUUGUGUUGUCACCCUGGCAACGCAUCUGUAUCUGUGUAUGCUUGUAUGUUUUCUCUUUUUUGAGAAUCUGAAUCAAAAGAUUCACGAACCCGCUCCGAAAGUUCCAAUUUGAAUCAAGUGAUUUGCGACACCUGCUCCGAAGAUCCGAUUUGAAUCAAAUGGUUCGCGAUCCGAAAUCCUGAUCAAAAUCAAAAGAUUCACAAUCUGAAGUCCAGCAAACCAUUAUUCAGAUCUGAAUAAAAAAAACUGUGAUUCUGCUCCAAAGAAGUUCCAGUCUAAAUAAUAUGCUUUUAAGUUCCUAUUUGAAUCAAAAGAUUCGCAAUAAGCACUCUGAAGUCGCGAUCUAAAUCAAAUGAAUCACGAUACAUGCUUUGAAGUCCUGAUCUAAACCAAGUGAUUCCAGAUAUUCGAACCGAUUCGAGCACUUCAAAACAGCGAAUCAUUUUGUGACGAGUGGUUCAGAGUUUCAAAAAGCUCCGUUUCACCCAUCAAUAACUUACGUGCUUAAUGCAGUAUUUGCUAGUGAAUAGCUUAAAACAAAUGACUGAAGUCACGAGUUUGAGUUUGAAUCAAUCGGAGUGGUUCCAGCGGAAAUGACUCACUCAGUUGAAUCGGUUUGUCUGUUCCUCCGCUUUUCGCGCGUUCAGCCAUGUUUAUGCUACAACCUCAGUACAACUGCUGGCUUAAAGCGCUAGUUUUAUUCGAUUAAUUGAAAUAAGCAAAAAAGUAUGGUGUUUACAAAUAACAUCUAUAUUUCCAUUCUGAAGAUAACUGCUUUCCACGUCGAAGACAUCCAACACAAAUCAUUUUCAGAUACAGUGAUAGUUGAUGUAGAAAGAGCAAAUGGGAGAAGCAGAUGAACACAGAACAGAUGCACAGUGCUGUCUGUUCAUUAAGGUUUCUGAGUGUAUCUACUCAUGGAUUACUAUGUCGUUGGAGAUCUGCAGACAUUGCUGAGUAAGUUCGGUGAUGGUAUCCUCAGUUCUACCUGUUGAGAUGGUGAUGGCCCUCGAUUUAGUCCACAGACUAAAUGAAAGUCUCAUUCACCGGCACAAAGACAAAGCGGGCGGCGUGUGAUAAACGAUGAUUAGCGUGAGAGGUGAGCGGCAGACGGGUGACGGACAGAAACAAGGCCAGGAAUGCCAACAGCCUUCGGGCGCCGUUGCCAGGGUCGAACCUCUGCCUCAGGCUGCCAAUCAAACGUCCCGUGUAAGAACCCGAUAAGACCGGCACCCACUGAUCAUCUGGAUUUAAAUGAAAAUGAAAUUUCCCCAAACUGGUCCUCAACAUCAUAUUCAGCUCUCUUUGUUUCUAUGACAUAUUCACGAAGUCUUGCAAUGUAGUGGCUUCUCAUUAAAGUCUGCUAUAGUUCACCUCUAAACUUGGUGUAGCUCAGGAAAGUGCAACAGUGACACAGUAAAGAGCGGAUGGUACAUGACAGAUAAACUGAUGGAGCUUAAUCAUGGUAGAUUGAAAGGGACCAGUUUUAAAAUUAAGUAAAUGAUGAAAAUGUUUAUUUUAAUAUGCAGUUGGCUCCCUUUCUGUUUCAUAAAUAGAUAGAUAAUCUAUAUAUCUGUCUGUCUGUUUAUCUAUCUAUCAGACAUGGUUACAAAGCAACUUCUUGCAGAGAGAAUCAGAGAAAGUCAGAUAUAAAGCCCUUAAAGAACCAACAUACAGUAUAUUAGUAAAAUGGCAAGUAGAAUGUCAAAAUAACAAAUUAUUUUAAAUAAAUCCUGUUUUUGGAAAAAGAAGCAUCUAGCGUUUUAAAUCAAGACACGACCAAGUUGUGUUGGAUAGAUCAUACUAGACUGACUCAUGGGCAUUUAUUGAAGAGUGAAGGAAGAAGAACCAAAAUGUCAAUAGUGUAGCACCGGCUUGUCUAUAAAACUUGUAUUUUUGGUCUAAUGUUUUGAGACAGCUGUGUUUAUCUGAAAAAAGUUUUAAGGACUUGUUUAUGGACCCAGAAAAACUUUUACAAUUUUUAUAACGGGUACAUUUAAAGAAUGUUUUAUAGAAUUAUGCUUAAUCUUGUCUUUUUGUACAAGUCAAAUGUUAUAAAAAUGUUUUUAUUAUUAUUGUUAUAUUGAAUUUGAUAUUAUUUUGUUGAUAAU
This is a long non-coding RNA of Cyprinus carpio (common carp), 2271 nucleotides long. RefSeq lists it as uncharacterized. The record is from RefSeq and is a predicted model, not a curated record. NCBI's taxonomy places the organism in Eukaryota, Metazoa, Chordata, Actinopteri, Cypriniformes, Cyprinidae. The transcript is spliced from 4 exons.